GUCGGGAUAGCUCCAUUGGUAGAGCAGAGGACUGAAAAUCCUC
Molecule: transfer RNA, 43 nt
Filed under: Paepalanthus macrocaulon var. kingii
Lineage: Eukaryota; Viridiplantae; Streptophyta; Magnoliopsida; Poales; Eriocaulaceae
Description: partial tRNA-Phe
Source: RNAcentral